UAGGGAAUCUUCCGCAAUGGGCGAAAGCCUGACGGAGCAACGCCGCGUGAGUGAUGAAGGUCUUCGGAUCGUAAAACUCUGUUAUUAGGGAAGAACAAAUGUGUAAGUAACUAUGCACGUCUUGACGGUACCUAAUCAGAAAGCCACGGCUAACUACGUGCCAGCAGCCGCGGUAAUACGUAGGUGGCAAGCGUUAUCCGGAAUUAUUGGGCGUAAAGCGCGCGUAGGCGGUUUUUUAAGUCUGAUGUGAAAGCCCACGGCUCAACCGUGAAGGGUCAUUGGAAACUGGAAAACUUGAGUGCAGAAGAGGAAAGUGGAAUUCCAUGUGUAGCGGUGAAAUGCGCAGAGAUAUGGAGGAACACCAGUGGCGAAGGCGACUUUCUGGUCUGUAACUGACGCUGAUGUGCGAAAGCGUGGGGAUCAAACAGG
Molecule: ribosomal RNA, 429 nt
Filed under: Actinomycetes bacterium
Lineage: Bacteria; Bacillati; Actinomycetota; Actinomycetes
Description: Actinobacteria bacterium partial 16S ribosomal RNA
Rfam family: Bacterial small subunit ribosomal RNA
Source: RNAcentral